AGUAUAUUCUUUACUAAUACGAAACCCUAAAAUAAGACACGGUGGAGGUCCGAUCGACGAGGGGCAGAAGAGGAGGCGAGAAGAUGAUCUACCGGCCGUGGUCUUUGCUGUCGUCCACAGUGGUGGUAUGUGGAGGCGUCGGCACCGCCGGCCUCGCCGGGAUCUUUCUCUUCGGCGUCAAGGAGAAGUUACAAGAAUACCUGUGCCGUGAGGGCGAGAGGCUCCGACAGCUGGAUAGAGCCACGAUGGAAGCAAACAGAGCCAGAACAAGUUGAGAAGAGAUACAAAGCUACGGUGUUCACCAUACCAAUGGUGGUUUCCCUUUUUCUCCAGCUGUGUGAAUUUUCAAGCUCAAUAAAUGUUGCUGCAAACUUCUGUUGGAACUUGGUUUCCACCAGUGGAGAACAAGCCCCACUCUUAGUUGUUAUAAUCUGAAGUUUCAGAUGCUUUGAUCUGUUGUGAUAAUUGGCACCUGAUACUUUAGCCACUCUUUGUUGAUCUUCUGUUCAUAUGGAAGACACCAUCAUUUGUACCGUAUGGAUGAUGCUUUAUCAGGAGAAAGGUUGCAAUGAAU
Molecule: non-coding RNA, 574 nt
Organism: Musa acuminata subsp. malaccensis (wild Malaysian banana)
Lineage: Eukaryota; Viridiplantae; Streptophyta; Magnoliopsida; Zingiberales; Musaceae
Source: RefSeq, a predicted model, not a curated record